UGUUUUCAAGAAGUUAUCAAAUAUUCGAGAAGAGGAUAAUACGACAUCCUCACGCGCAAAUUCUUUUCCAACAAACAAUCAAUAAUUGAGAGUGGGAAUAAUGUGACUUUUCCAAGAGUAUAUAGUUGGAAACAUUUUCUAUGGUUUUCAAAGUGCAUGAUUUGGUGUUAUAAAUCUAUUUGGGAAUUUUUUGAACCAUAGUAAUUUUCUUAAGUUUUUGGUUUGGCAUUUAUUUGAGCCUUAUUCGAAUUCCAAAAGUAUUUAUGUGCAUUAUUCGGGUGGAAACUAUUUUGGCAAAACCCAUAUUGGAUAUUUUGAUUUACUGACAUCAUGUUGAAUUUUUCGGAGUUCUUAUGGUAUUUUCAAAUCCGACAUUUGAAUUCUCGUGACCUUGCAAUUAGAAAAUAUUAGAAAUAUUCCCAAUCCAACUUUGGGCCGAAGCCCACUUCCCAGGCCGCAGCCCAUUCCCCCCCUUUCCUGUUUUUUUUCUUUUAUUUUUCUCCCUGGGCCUUUUUCCCUACUGGCCCAACACCAGGGCGAACCACCCAGCCACCUGUCCUUUUCUUUUCUUUUUUUUUCCUUUUCUCCUUCUUUGGCCGACCUCCCUCUGGCCCAUCCCCACCGAGCGCUCCAGCCCAACCUCCCACACGAGACUUCGUCUUCCUCGUUGCGUCCAGGUACAGAAGCCUCCUAGGUAGCGCCAGCAUCGGCGAGAUCUCCGCCACCACCCUCACCUCCCUGCCCCGUUCUCUGUUCAAAUACACUGAACCGCACCCCACGAACCCCCUCUCCCUAUUCCCCUCCUUAAAUUCCUCAAUCACGGCCUUUACCGCCUCUAGCCAUUAGUGGCCGACGCCAUUACUGCUGGCCGGUGGCAUCCUCGCCCGAUCUCCCUCCUCGGCAUAUAAAAGACGAUUCCGAGCGCGUCACUUCGAACCUUUGGCCAUCCUUCCCCGUUUUCCUAUGGAGAGUUUUUCCUAUGGAGCUUUGUAGAUCGCAUGCCGUGGCCGUCUUCCUCUGCCGUUCGUCGCAUUCAUUCUCGAAGGUGAGGUCAUUCCAAAGUGUUGUUCGUCGAUUCCUUUCAUCGGUGGACUCCCGUUACCUUCUUCUACCUGUGUGACAAGGUUGUUCGAGCCAUCUCCGACAUUGUCCGCGUCUUCGCCGACCGCAAGCCAACACCGCGCCCCGGAGCUCCGCCCAUCGCUGUCCAGGGAUGCUCCGACCUGGCAAGCCGCGUCAAGACGUCCACCUCGAUGUUAUGCACGUCCCUAGCCACAUCUUCGGCCCCGAAGCCCUCCGGAACGUCGACUCCAACGACAACCACCGCCGCCGCCGCCGUCUCCACGUUGCGCCACCGCCUUUGAACACCACGGCGACCACACUCGGCUUCCUCUCAUCGCCCUCAACGUCUUCCAUGACCUCAUUGACCCUACCGACGACUCCUUUGCCAUUUUCUGAACUCUGGCGAACUCCGUUUCGGUGAGCAAACUUUCAGCCACAGCAGUUCAGAUUAGCCAUGUUUAGAAGUCCAUAUAUUUUUAUAUGUACAACUUUUUAGGCCGGUUCUUUCGUCUAUGGUUAGAUCACGUCCUCCUCUAUAUAUCAGACCAGUUUCUAUACCCCGUCUCGAUGAUCUUAUGUAGUACAUCUUCGUUGGAAAUUGCUAUUAACAGCAUGUUGCUUCUCGAUUAGCCACCUUUCUAAAUUCAUAUAGGUUGUUCCAUUGUUCCGUUUGGUUCCAAACCUUCUGUACAUCAUCGAUUAGAUCCUGUUCUCCCCAAUAGUGUACUUGUUUCACAAGUUAGGAUUCAUCCACAGAGGUGCAUCGUCAAUCAAAAGUCGUAUCUGUUAACACUGUCACAUUGAUGAGCUAUCUUCCAAAGCCUAUAUGUGUUGAUCCGU
Molecule: long non-coding RNA, 1902 nt
Filed under: Brachypodium distachyon (stiff brome)
Lineage: Eukaryota; Viridiplantae; Streptophyta; Magnoliopsida; Poales; Poaceae
Description: long non-coding RNA (BDIS_LNC003320)
Source: RNAcentral